Molecule: long non-coding RNA, 1973 nt
Filed under: Homo sapiens (human)
Lineage: Eukaryota; Metazoa; Chordata; Mammalia; Primates; Hominidae
Description: HSALNT0170450
Source: RNAcentral
UCCCCUUCUGUACCCCAGGAUCACAUUACCCACCCCCCAACACUGUUCUGCAGAAUGUGCAGAAAAUUGCAGGUGGUGACGCUUCUGCAAACAGCAGAGCCCCGGGCACCUGUCCAAGGCGGCUCCGGAAGGCCCCGCGAGUCCCGUGCGCGGGGACUUCCCAGGGGCGGGGUCGCGGGGCAGGGCGGGCGCUGGCUCCACCCCCCGCCGGCCCCGCAGGAACCGGAAAGGGGCUGGACGGUGUAGCGGCGCCCCCUGCCGACACCUCCUAGCAUCGCGUCCCCGCGUGGCCGCGGGGCGGGGCCCGGGGGGUCGUUCCGGAGUGGCCCCUGCAGGGCUUACAAACAGACGCGGCGGCUGCGAGAGGGGGACACGAUGACUUCUUUCUAGAGCAGGGACUUAGAGAACCGAGUCUUUAUGCAUGAAUGUACCUGCAUAACCAUUUGCUAAAUAGGGCCCGGAGGAGGCUCAUAGGAGGGUGUAGGGGCAGGAGCCUUCUGGCUUUGAGCCCCAGGGUUGAAGCUGGAGCUUUCCCAGGUGGAGAAGACACAGCGAAGACCAGGGCGGGACGGCCCGUGGCAGGUGCCGCACACCGCGCCGUGGGCUGAGGGACAGGUCAGGACCCCAGGCACAGAGGUGCAAUGGCCAUAUUUUCAAACCAAACUUCAGAAGGGGCGUGGCAGUACUGAAUUCUGCCUGGGUGUGGUUUUUCCAGGCAGCAGCCCCCAACGGGUUUUCUUUUCUUUUCUUUUUGACAUAGGGUCUCACUCUGUUGCCCAGGCUGGGCAGCCUCAACCUUCCAGGCUCCAGAGAUCCUCCCACCUCGGUCUCCCUAGUAGCUGGGACUACAGGCAUGCGCCACCAUGCCCAGCUAAUUUCUAAACUUAUUUUUGUAGAGAUGAGGUUUCUCUCAGUUGACCAAGCUGGUCUUGAACUCCUGGCCUCAAGUGAUCCUCCUGCCUCGGCCUCCCAAAGAUCUGGGAUGGCAAGCUUGAGCUGUGGCCAGCCUUGACCAGGUUUCCCAUGGGCCUGGGGUGUGCUUGUCUCCAGCAGCUCUGAAGCGCCUCUCUUCCAACUCCACUCCAGUUCCAGCAGCACAGAGACCCAGAUGGGCAUCCAUCCACGCUGGGGUCAGGCCCAUGCGCCAAGCUCCUCUGAGUAGCCUGAGUCCUCAGCCAUGGUGACCCCACGUGGAAAAGUCUUGAAACUGACGUCUCAAAGAGGAUGAUGUGUGAGCGACCGUGACAGCAGCACAAAUCCCAGGUGGACAGGACACUCCGGCUGCCCCGAGUGGCCGAGGACGGGUCGGCAUCUCCUGGCAUUUUUGUCCGUUUUGGUGGCAGGUGAGCCCAGCACGUAGGGAGGGAUGGGCAGCCCACAGCCGGGACUGGACGACUCAGAAGUUCCGGCUAAGGUAGGAUAACUUGGGCAGGCUUCCCGAGUCCCUCCCAGCUGCGGUCCCCUGGCCCCCACUUGCUCAGUGGCCAGGUGUGGGAGGAGCCAGCGGCCCUGUGCCAAGGGAGCACGAGUUGGGGCGUGUGGGGAUGGGAGGCCGGGUCGAAGGCCGCCUUUCAGUGCAGGGAAGGACCUGAUACCACAGUCCAGCAGCAGAGGGAAAGCCAGGCCAGGGGUUUGAGGCCAGAGAUCUCAGAACCUUGGGAGCCAGCUGCUAGUCUGCAUUUCAGGGUGCCAGGAGUCCCUGGAGACGGGGAUGGAGCCCUGUGGGUGGAGACAGCAGGACUUCAGGUCACCAAUGAGGCCAGGGUGCUGGUGCUCAGGGUCCCAGCUGUGGGGGUCUCAGUUCUCCCAGCCCUGCUCCCAGGCUGACCCUCCAGGCCAGCCCCUCUCUGUAGGUCUGAGGAGGGUCCUUAUGGAGCACAGGUGGGGCUGGGGAAAUGGCACAUGUCUCCGCAAAGCUCCUGUGCCUCCUUUGCUCCGGAGAGCCUGCUCCUUCACAGAGGGCGUCUGAUACA